AAUUAUGGUGGGACGUAGCGGGGGAGACGCAAGUCUCGCCGGGUUUCUUGUUGGCCGGUAUCUCAACUCCGUUACGUCUCGCCACCCCG
RNAcentral lists this non-coding RNA (89 nucleotides) under Serratia symbiotica str. Tucson. Lineage: Bacteria; Pseudomonadati; Pseudomonadota; Gammaproteobacteria; Enterobacterales; Yersiniaceae. The record is from RNAcentral.